RNAcentral lists this RNase P RNA (335 nucleotides) under Gammaproteobacteria bacterium. RNAcentral's name for it is "RNase P RNA component class A". It matches the Rfam family "Bacterial RNase P class A". Rfam says of the family: Ribonuclease P (RNase P) is a ubiquitous endoribonuclease, found in archaea, bacteria and eukarya as well as chloroplasts and mitochondria. Its best characterised activity is the generation of mature 5'-ends of tRNAs by cleaving the 5'-leader elements of precursor-tRNAs. The record is from RNAcentral. Lineage: Bacteria; Pseudomonadati; Pseudomonadota; Gammaproteobacteria.
GAAGCGGGCCGGGCAGCCGCCGCCUCGUGCGGAGGAAAGUCCGGGCUCCACAGGACAGGAUGCCAGGUAACGCCUGGGGGGCGCAAGCCCACGGCCAGUGCCACAGAAAAGAUACCGCCGGAUUCGUCCGGUAAGGGUGAAAAGGUGCGGUAAGAGCGCACCGCGCGGCUGGCAACAGACGUGGCAGGGUAAACCCCAUCCGGAGCAAGACCCAAUAGGGGAGCGAUCAGGUGUCCUGCCUGGCUCCCGGGUAGGUCGCUAGAGCGGGACGGCGACGUCCCGCCCAGAUGAAUGGCUGUCCUCGACAGAACCCGGCUUACAGGCCCGCUUCCCCA